UCGAACGAGAGAUGAGGAGCUUGCUCUUCAAAUCGAGUGGCGAACGGGUGAGUAACGCGUGAGGAACCUGCCUCAAAGAGGGGAACAACAGUUAGAAAUGACUGCUAAUACCGCAUAAAAUCGCAAGAUUAAAGCAGCAAUGCGCUUGGGGAUGGGCUCGCGUCCUAUUAGUUAGUUGGUGAGGUAACGGCUCACCAAGGCGAUGACGGGUAGCCGGUCUGAGAGGAUGUCCGGCCACACUGGAACUGAGACACGGUCCAGACACC
This 266-nucleotide ribosomal RNA is filed under the name uncultured Akkermansia sp. Its description in RNAcentral is "partial 16S ribosomal RNA". It matches the Rfam family "Bacterial small subunit ribosomal RNA", at positions 62 to 339 of the family's 1533-position model. Lineage: Bacteria; Pseudomonadati; Verrucomicrobiota; Verrucomicrobiia; Verrucomicrobiales; Akkermansiaceae. The record is from RNAcentral.